UACGUAGGGUGCAAGCGUUAAUCGGAAUUACUGGGCGUAAAGCGUGCGCAGGCGGCUAUGUAAGUAUGACGUGAAAUCUCCGGGCUCAACCUGGGAAUUGCGUUGGAGACUGCAAGGCUAGAAUCUGGCAGAGGGGGGUAGAAUUCCACGUGUAGCAGUGAGAUGCGUAGAGAUGUGGAGGAACACCGAUGGCGAGGGCAGCCCCCUGGGUCAAGAUUGACGCUCAUGCACGAAAGCGUGGGGAGCAAACAGG
RNAcentral lists this ribosomal RNA (253 nucleotides) under uncultured bacterium. RNAcentral's name for it is "partial 16S ribosomal RNA". It matches the Rfam family "Bacterial small subunit ribosomal RNA", at positions 524 to 776 of the family's 1533-position model. The record is from RNAcentral.